Molecule: long non-coding RNA, 8033 nt
Filed under: Glycine max (soybean)
Lineage: Eukaryota; Viridiplantae; Streptophyta; Magnoliopsida; Fabales; Fabaceae
Description: long non-coding RNA (GMAX_LNC001146)
Source: RNAcentral
UAUUAAUUAAGUAAAUAAAAAACUAUUUCUUAUAUAUAUAUCCAAAUAACACAUUCUCUAUUUUAUUUUACUACAUUUCUUAUCCUCUCUUAAUUAGUGUUCUCUUUAUUACAUCUCCGGUCCAAAUAUAGUAUUAGCACUCUGGCUAAAUGACAUCACCAUAACCUACUAAAAUUAGAUCUCAAUUAAAAAAUUAAGCCUGCACUAAAUUAUACUCAGAAUUAGGACAACUUUUUUACCAAGUGAUGUGAACCAUUCAAUAGCUUGGCUGGCCACAUGCUCACCUCCUUUCUUAUAAAUAAAUGCUCUAAACUUUAAUUUCCUAACAUGUAUACUCGAUCAAAUCCGAAAAGAAGGCAUCAUGGGAGAUUUCAUCAUCCUUUGUCCCCUCUUUCCAAAUGUCGGGGCGUAUUUGCAUACAUCAUAUCAUAUCAUAAUAUAAUAAUAUGAGCUUCGUGCACCCUUUCUCUCCAAAAUACCAAAGUACACCCACUUUCAUCAUUUUGUUUGUUCAAAUUUAAAGUCCUUUCAUAUUUGGUGUUUUGUAGUAUUCUCAAGCAUAUGAUAAAACGAAGUGUAAACCUUGGUGGCCUCUCUUGCUUAACUAUUUUGUCGGCUACGCAAAUAAUGGAAACCGAUUUAAGACUCAUCUUUGUUGUACCUGAGCCAAGCUAUUUGAGGUGUACGGUGGGAAUCUCAUCAAUUAUAUUUUAACUAAAAAACAAAGAAUGAGUGUUCCAGUAUUUUUUCCAAAAUUGCAUUCCAUUAAGUCUAUGCUUCUAGAAAGGAAUGCAUAUAUAGUCAAAUUAAAAACCAAGUAAGGAAACUUAUCUUGUAUUUGUUGCCCUACAUGCAGCUUCGGAAUGCCAGUAACAUAGAUAGAAGAGAAGCUUUAAUUUAUGAUCUGAUUGAAUAGUUUUACUGUUUAAGAAUUUUGUUCCACCCAGCAAUCUUGCUGCUUUCACGGACAAAAAAUUGCACUGCAGAGCAUCACAAAAAUAUAAUAAUUGCUUUAAUCUGAGUGACCACUAUACCGUCCUUAUUAUUCUGUAUUCUUAUUGUAAGCUGGAAAUAAGUUUUCUUAAUUCGUGUACCAGAGUUAAGGAAGGAACAUAUAAGUUUUUAAGCAUAGAAAGGAAAAAGAAUUUGUAGGAACAGAAUAAGCCUGAUAAGAAAUAAAUCAUGGGGUUUUAUUCCUUUGGUUGUGUUCUGAUAUCUAAUGGUAAUAAUAAAUAAGAUAAAAGGAAUAGAGUGAUUUGAAAUUAAUAAUGCUAUCAGUUUAAAUAUUUUUAUGAUAGAAUAAAAAAAAAUGAUUCCAUGCCAUUUCCUAAUUCGAGGAAAAGGGGGAAAAUAUAAGAUAAAAAAAAGGCUCUAUUUCAUUUUAUCUUAUUUUUAAUAAUCCACCCAACAACGAAACUCGAUAUCGUGCAUUCUUUAUUUUGUUCAAACUCUUUUUAUCAAUUCAAACGUAGACUUACAAAAAUUGCAGAUAUGUCAUCAACAAUAAUAGAUUAUAAUUCUAAGGUCCCGUUUGAAAGUUGCAAAUUAUAUUCUCCCGAAUAUGUUGCCAACCCUCCGGCCAAUUGAAAUCUUGUUAUGUGCAGAGAAAUAUAUGCCAAUUCAGCUGCUACUUUGUAGAUUUAGGCAUUGAAAAAGAAUAGCCAGAGAUUAUAUUCCUCUUUAGUUUCACAUAUCCUUCAGUUGAAACCCAAUUAAAAAACCUAUUUAAAACUUUAAUUUACUUUGAUAGAUUAAGUGGAAUUUCUCCUUUAUACUAUUUUGGAUAAAUGAAAUGAAACAGACUACUGUUUCUUUCUUUAAGCAUUGUUUUGCCGGCAGUGAGUCAAAGCCUUACAUGAUACUCAAUCUAAGGCCACCAUACAUUGCAAUAAAAUCACACACGGAUUAGUGAAUCAUUGAAUAAGAUCUCUUGUACCCAUUGGUUUUCUCCGACAAUGUAUUCUAGAUAGUCCAAUGUUGCUUCCUGGAAAUAGCUCUUUCGGGUGCUUUUACCUCCACCACUUAACUCAUUUGUUUCUUUCAUUUUUUUUAAUUUAUGAGAAUUUCCCGUCAUAUUCUUGCGUUCCUGUUGUGUUUACCUAAUAUGAGUGGAAAUUAAUAGAAAAAACGAAAUAGUAGUAGAUAUGGACAAGGACAAUGUAUAAUGUAAAGAAUUAACAUGUUUAUAAGCUGUAGCAUAUGUUUGGAAAUCCAUUGAUGGGCAUACAUGGGUGAAAGGUACCCCUUUGUAUCUCUUAUGUUGAACGCACUUUUGGAGGGCUUAAAAUGUGUUCCAAACAUAAGCUUUUUUUAUCGGUCAGAAAGAUGUUCCAAACAUAAUUUAUUAACCAAGAAAUAUUUUCUAACAAUAUUUUUUAUUUAUAAAACUCAAACAUAAAAUUAUGCUUAAGACAUUCAAACUCAGUUUGACUGAAAACAUGCAUGUCAUUUAGUAAGAAUUUGUAUAUGAUUUUAUUUUAUAUUUAACACUCAUAAAAAUUAUUGACAAAUGUUAGAACACAUUUUUUUAACAUAAUUUUGUAACACUCUUUAUUAUUAAUUUCACAAUUUUGCGGGUUCAUUAAUAAUUAAUAAUCCCAUAUGUAGAGGUUUUAUUUUCGGGGGGAGGGGGUUGUAGGUACCGAUCAAGCUAAAGGGAAAGUUUUAUCGGACUGCGGUAAGACCGGCGAUUUUGUACGGGACAAAAUGUUGGACGGUCAAGAGCCAACAUGAGAAUAAAGUAGGUGUAGCGGAGAUGAGGAUGUUGCGGUGGAUGUGUGGUAAGACUCGACAGGAUAAAAUUAAAAACGAAGCUAUUAGAGAGAGGGUUGGAGUAGCGCCUAUUGUAGAGAAGAUGGUGGAAAAUAGACUUAGGUGGUUUGGGCAUGUAGAGAGAAGACCGGUAGACUCUGUAGUGAGGAGAAUAGACCAGAUGGAGAGAAGGCAAACAAUUCGAGGCAGAGAAAGACCCAAAAAGACUAUAAGAGAGGUUAUCAAAAAGGAUCUCGAACUUAAUGAUUUGGAUAGAAGUAUGGUACUUGAUAGAACAUUAUGGCGGAAGUUGAUCCAUGUAGCCGACCCCACCUAAUGGGAUAAGGCGUUGUUGUUGUUGUUGGAGGGGGGUUGUACAAUCAACCUCAAAGAACAGAACUUUCAAAAAGUACAUUAAUUAUAAAUUAUCAUCCAUCAUAUGUAGAGGUUAAUUUAGAAAAAAAAAAGUGAAAACUUCAGGAUAAUAUUAUAUUGAAACUGAUCAUAGAAGCAGAUCGAAGUGAUGAUACAUUGGAUGUUAAUUUAUUUAGUUGAUAUUCUCAUUAGGCGCGCCCUUAAAUUACUUCUAAGAGGUAACUUGAUGGAAAUCUUAUUUUUAAAAGGUUAGAAAAUGCUUGUUUCAUGGUUGACACGUGUAAAAAUAUCCCGUAUUCUUUGGACAUGCAAACUCAUCAAUGACACAUCUGUAGUUUCAAGUUGGCAUAUUGCUGCAUUUGUCUAAUGUUUAUUAAUUGAAGUUGAGAGAGUUGGCAACUAUUGUUAAUGGUACUCAUCUUAAUGCUUUAAACGAUUAUUAUUUAAGGGGAAUCAUGGUUGCGUAAGUCUCGUGAAAUUAUAUUUUAAAUGUCUUUGGGUUGUGACCUAAGCAUUGACAACCCGGAAGAAAAUGUACCAUACAAAGACAAAAAAAAAAGUAUAGUGAUUGGGGUAGGGGGGAAAAACUAUUUAUAUAGUGUGGGUGUAUUGUUUGUUUUCAUUAGUUAAGAUGGGGAAAUCUUGAGCGUUGGAACUUGGAAUGCUGAAAGAGUAGGGAAAAGAAUUAAAAACCAAAGUUAUACUCAUUAUUUAUAGAAAUGUUAACUUGUAGAUACAAAAUAUAUUGUAUGUAGGAGGGAACUUUUGUAUGUAAAAUUAACAUUUAGUUUAAAGUUAAGUCGCCCAAGUUCCUUAGCCUUUUAAUUUUCACCGUGUAAUUUAUAUACCAUAUUUUCUCUUUUUAAUAAAGUAUUCCAGGGAUUUGGAUAUAAAUCAAACCGUUGCAAGGAGAAAAAUGAUUAUAUUAAGCAAAAACAUUGUCUUUUUCAACUUUUUCCAAAAAGAAAGAAGAAGAAGGAAUAAUAUGUUUCUCGUUCAUACAUAAUUUUUUAUUUUUUAUUUUAUUCUUUAUAAUUUUUUUGUUUGAUCCCGACAAAAUUAUUCAUUUUUUUUUCUAUCUCAACCCUAAUUUUAUUAAAAUACAUGUCUUUAGGUUUUAUUAUUAGAUUUGUUUUGUUGAAUGAUUAAGUGGAAAAAUCAAGUUACGUUAUGUGUCAAUGAUCUAUGACUUGCUCGCAUUUGAAGAAACUUGUUUAAUAACAUAAUGUGUUUUUCUUCUAUAAAAAAGAAAAACUAAAUGUGUAUUUUUUUUCUAAAAAAAAACUAAACGUGUAUUUCAAUAAAGUCAAGUAUCAAAUUAUUUUUUAUUAAGAUUAAAAAAAUGAAUAUAUAGUUUUAAGGAUAAAAAAUGUAUUCAAGAAGAAAAAAACAGUGAUAUUUUAUGAAUAAGGUAAAAAGGAGAAAACUAUUAAUCUGUAGGAAAGUUAUCUGUAGAAAAGUUUGAUCUGUAUACAAAGAAAUGUUCAUGACUAGAGUAAAAAAACAAGCUAAUAUACUCUUUUGAAUAAAUCGACUUUACAAGUACAAGUUAGCGCGCUAACUUUUACUUUAUGAGGCAUUAAUUCCAAUAUCUAGGAGCAAGCAGCCUUUGCUAUUGCAAGAAGCUCUCCAUCCUCCUUUUCUCUUUUGUAACAGAAACAUACCAUAAAUAGAACAAAAUUAGGUAAAAAGCUAUCAAAGCAAUUAAAAAAAGUAUUAAUUACAAUGCUUCAAUACAAUUAAUAAGAGUAUUUCAACUUGUAAUUAACUUCUUUUUGUUUGCAAAUUGCUGCAGCUAUUCCUGGUCCAUCUUUUGCACCAGAAUACUCUCAUAAGGAAUAAGGUUCCUAAGUGGCUUAUUAGUUUUUACAACGUUUGAUGCUAAUUUAUCUUAUAAUUUAGACUGAAAUUUAGUAAGCUCCACGUGACUAAACCACAUGCUUGAUGUCAGUUGCUAUUGAGUAUUUUAACUUGAAUAAGAUUUAGGUAGAAGUUACUGAACAUAAUACAGCAUAUGCAAACCAUGACUUUCAGUUCUGAAUUUUCAGUACCAAGUCUAGUGAUACUUGCUCUGAAAACCUUGGCCCUAGCACGUGGAACUUGUUCCCUGGUACACAAUAAGAGCGCACUCAUCUUUGCUCUUAUUACUAAAUCAUGUCUCUUUAAUCAUUAUAACUUUCCAAGAAAUUGGCGUGACAGCCUUAACUCAAAGUUGUAUGUACCAUUUACUUUCAUUUUCUUAGAUGUCUCGGUACAAGUAUAACUCUCCUGUUAAACUGUAUUUGCGUUGUCUAUAACUUUCUUUUAUGUUGUCAUAAGAUUUUUACAAUAAAUAUUCUCUUCUUUUAGUUUCUUAAUUAAUCAAUGUCUUAAAGGAGAUUUGUUAGCAAGAUCUUUAAUUAUUUUCCUUUCCUGAUACGAAUCAAAACAAAAAUAAAAGCCCCAGACCUGAAAUAUCUUCCCUGUUAGUGUUAGCUAUGACUAUGAGAGUAGCUGAAAAUAUAAUGGCUCUAAUUUGAGUUAGACAUAUCACAGACACACUACCCCGAUAUGUUUGUGUUUCACAUUUCAAGAAAUUUCUUCUAAGCUGCAAAACUAUUAUGAGGAGAUCUAAAGUUCGGGUGCCACCGCUAACUCUCCUCUUCAUUACUUGUCCCUUUCUCUUGUUGGUCAGUUUUGGACGUUUCCUUCAAUUAAGAUAUGCGAAUCUCUGGGCAUUUCAUGAGGCCUCUAUAGACAAACCGAAUAUAUUUAGAUUUCUAGCAACUACAAUCUCUUGGAAUCUUAACCUGCUUCUUUGUAAUAAAAAUAACAGCUUUAGCUAGCCUUAAAUUGUUACUAUUAGUCUAUUACUGAUCAAUUACCUAACUUCCAAAAUCUUUUAUGGAGAGUCGUUGAAAAUUGCUGAUGGAUGUGAAUUGAAAGCUCAAUGAACCUAAUUACUAAUUCCUAUCUUUGUGGGAUCAAAAGAGCAAACGGGUUCAGUAGAAACUCACUGAAAAAGACCACAAUGUUUGAGAAGUAAAAUUUGUGCAUGGACCCACUCAUUGAAGAGUUCGUGCAUCAUGUCAAAGUUCAAACGAGAACCACUAUUAUAAUAAUGAAUUCAACUUUGUCCACUAAACUAUCAUUCAAGAACAAGUAUCAAAAUUGUAUACCACCUCGACUUUAGUCCAAGAAGGCACGAAGUUCAUGAUAUACAGCAAUAAAUUAAUUAAACAGACCAUUUGAGUAAAAGGGGCACCACAGAAAGAAAAGGUAAAACAAAAAUGCAACAACUAAACAAAUCACCGAGUUGAGGAUAUACAAUAAUGAAUGAUACAGAGCAUUUGAGCAAAAGGGGCACCACAGAAAGUAAAAUAUGGAACAAUAUUAUAAAAAGGAGAGCGUGGACAAUAUUGUUAUUAUUGCUAGACUAAAUUUAAUUGAGUGUCAAUGUAAAGAUUUUUUUCUUUGUUAACUAAUCAAUUAUCAAAGUCAGCAAAAAAUUUACACUAUCAGCGGAUUUUAAUUAAGCUUUUAUUAUUACACAUCUAGAAAUUAUAUCUUAACUUAUAUUUUAAAGAAUAAAUACCACCAAUAAUAUAAAAAAAAUUAUAUUAUUAUUCAAUCAUAAACCUUAUGCAUUAUAAAGCUUGUUGAUUUUAAUUAUCUAAAAAGGCAUAUGAGUGAUAAUUUUUUACCGAUUAACCUUAUAAAUAAUUUUAUUUGUUAUUACGUUAUAUGGGUAAAAUAUUGAAAGAUUUUAUUAGUAACUAAUUUUUGUUGAAAAAUCUGAUAAAUCAUUUUUUAUAUGAAUUUUAUUUUUCAACCAUAUUCUCUCUGCCAACCAAAAAAAUAAACCUAAAGUUUUGGUUAAAAAUUCGAAACCCACUUUCAUAAACUCUUUUACAUUGACACUAAGAUUACAUGCAAAUUAUAUGACUUGGUCUCAUAUGACAAAUAAUACAAGUCUAAUAAUAUAGGGAAGUACAGUUGCAACAAUAAUAGGGUGAUCUGGAAGACUACAGAAGCGGCACCCAACAAGCAGGCUUACCCGCUCUAUGAUAUGAAUUCCCUAACAAACAUCACACCCCCUCCUCUCUUCUCUCUGUCUCAGUACUGCAACAUGUCUGCUGAAGCCAUAAUCGGGAGGCUGAAAUUGAAAGGGUUGUUGAAGAAGGUACUAGUACUAGCAUCGGGCUCAAAGAAAUUCAACAAGUGGAUGAUCUGGUUGAGAGAGUCCAACCUGUGGCUGAGCUCGUUCACUUGUGCUCUCAAAACAGAGUUCUCAGCCUCCACCGCCAAGUACUUGUGGCUGGUGAGGUUCACAGACGUGAGAAGCUGCUGAUUCUGGCUCCUGAGCUGAGUCAGCUGCGAUGCUAGAUCAUCCAAGUGCUUCUGCUUCCUCAUUCGAGAUCGCCUUGCCGAUUCGCGGUUCGAUAUCAUUCUCUUCCUCUUCCUCUGAUCCAUCAUACCCUGCAGCUCCGACGACGUCCCUGAAGAUGUUCCACUUGAACAAGCCAUAGUCAUAGUAGUAACCAAUACUUAACAAAAACAAAAAUGGACUACGCAGGACCCAGACCCAGAUAAAAAUAUGUAAGAAGAGAUAUAAUAGGCUUUUAUUUAAUUAAUAAUAAUUAGAAAUCAUGAAACGUAGUAGAGCCAGUAAAGAAAAGCAACGGAGAAGGAUUGAACUAAAUGGGUCCUGCGUCGUCUCACAGUAGAAUUGAUCAUACACCCGGAAAAGAAGAUUUCACUAAGAAUUGGAUACAUCAAUCUCAAACAUCAAGAACAAGAUGUUGGGCAUUUAAAAGGCUUAAAAAAUAAUCAAGAUGAUCGAGCGAGCAGGGGGCUGUUGAAGCACUACGCAGAGGCAGACCAUAAACUAUGUGACCAAAAAUAUCUUAAAAGAAACAAGGAAGAAA